Long non-coding RNA from Chinchilla lanigera (long-tailed chinchilla), 384 nucleotides. RefSeq lists it as uncharacterized. The record is from RefSeq and is a predicted model, not a curated record. NCBI's taxonomy places the organism in Eukaryota, Metazoa, Chordata, Mammalia, Rodentia, Chinchillidae. The transcript is spliced from 2 exons.
GCCCCGCGGCCGGCCUGGGGGCCGAGUAUUGUCCUAAAGGCGGAAAAAAGCAGAGAGGGGGCUGGGGCCAGCCACGUGGCGCAGGAGGAUUUAUAACAUUUCCUUUCUCCAGCGACAACACUGCCAAAUGUGUGAAAGAGACUCCGGCAGGACAGGGGCGUGAGGGCACGGACGAGCGCUUUCCCCUACCGGAAAUCUGAUGGGCUUAUGACAUCAUGGCUGGCUGCUGAGCGAUGAAGUGGAUGCCACAGAGAAACCCGAUUUAUCAGAUGAAUUCGGAAAUCACUUUCCCUCCGGCGGGAGGAGCAGGCAUGAAGUCAGGAGACUCUCAGCUUUGUUUAAAAAUUUAAAAAAAAUAAAGAAAUAAAAGCAAAACUAAGUCUU